CCUACGGGAGGCUGCAGUGAGGAAUAUUGGUCAAUGGACGAGAGUCUGAACCAGCCAAGUAGCGUGAAGGAUGACUGCCCUAUGGGUUGUAAACUUCUUUUAUAUGGGAAUAAAAUGUUCCACGUGUGGGAUUUUGUAUGUACCAUAUGAAUAAGGAUCGGCUAACUCCGUGCCAGCAGCCGCGGUAAUACGGAGGAUCCGAGCAUUAUCCGGAUUUAUUGGGUUUAAAGGGAGCGUAGGUGGAUUGUUAAGUCAGUUGUGAAAGUUUGCGGCUCAACCGUAAAAUUGCAGUUGAAACUGGCAGUCUUGAGUACAGUAGAGGUGGGCGGAAUUCGUGGUGUAGCGGUGAAAUGCUUAGAUAUCACGAAGAACUCCGAUUGCGAAGGCAGUUCACUGGACUGCAACUGACACUGAGGCUCGAAAGUGUGGGUAUCAAACAGGAUUAGAUACCCUUGUAGUC
RNAcentral lists this ribosomal RNA (460 nucleotides) under uncultured bacterium. Its description in RNAcentral is "partial 16S ribosomal RNA". It matches the Rfam family "Bacterial small subunit ribosomal RNA", at positions 338 to 795 of the family's 1533-position model. The record is from RNAcentral.